AGCGAACGCUGGCGGCAGGCCUAACACAUGCAAGUCGAACGAACCUUUCGGGGUUAGUGGCGGACGGGUGAGUAACACGUGGGAACGUGCCUUUAGGUUCGGAAUAACUCAGGGAAACUUGUGCUAAUACCGAAUGUGCCCUUCGGGGGAAAGAUUAAUCGCCUUUAGAGCGGCCCGCGUCUGAUUAGCUAGUUGGUUGAGGUAAUGGCUCACCAAGGCGACGAUCAGUAGCUGGUCUGAGAGGAUGAUCAGCCACAUUGGGACUGAGACACGGCCCAAACUCCUACGGGAGGCAGCAGUGGGGAAUCGUGCGCAAUGGGCGAAAGCCUGACGCAGCCAUGCCGCGUGAAUGAUGAAGGUCUUAGGAUAGUAAAAUUCUUUCACCGGGGACGAUAAUGACGGUACCCGGAGAAGAAGCCCCGGCUAACUUCGUG
This 434-nucleotide ribosomal RNA is filed under the name uncultured bacterium. Its description in RNAcentral is "partial 16S ribosomal RNA". It matches the Rfam family "Bacterial small subunit ribosomal RNA", at positions 29 to 507 of the family's 1533-position model. The record is from RNAcentral.